UACGGAGGAUCCAAGCGUUAUCCGGAUUUAUUGGGUUUAAAGGGUGCGUAGGCGGCCUAUUAAGUCAGGGGUGAAAGACGGUAGCUCAACUAUCGCAGUGCCCUUGAUACUGAUGGGCUUGAAUACACUAGAGGUAGGCGGAAUGUGACAAGUAGCGGUGAAAUGCAUAGAUAUGUCACAGAACACCGAUUGCGAAGGCAGCUUACUAUGGUGUUAUUGACGCUGAGGCACGAAAGCGUGGGGAUCAAAC
Molecule: ribosomal RNA, 250 nt
Filed under: uncultured bacterium
Lineage: Bacteria
Description: partial 16S ribosomal RNA
Rfam family: Bacterial small subunit ribosomal RNA
Source: RNAcentral